AAAGGGCCUCUGGGAAUCAUCUCAUUUGAUCAGAAAUUUCCCACCUUGGACAGCCUCUGACAGGCCUCUCUGGCACAGUCUCACCCUUGUUAGCCUAGAGCCACGUUUUUUAUACCUGGGGGAUUUCUAUCCUGGCUGCAGCUGUCUCCCCACUUUGCUGUUACAAAAACCACUGGCAACAGAGAGCAGGGGCCUCUGCUCUUGGCCUCUGAUUUCCCCAAAUGCUUGCCCUCUGCCUGCUGUUCCUGGCCUCUCGCUGCCUGGUCUACCCUGCUCUGUUCCUCAUCAACCUCCAUUUCAAAGAGCCCACUGACAGGUCACACAGAACUGAGCCGACGGCCAGUGCAGCCGAGGCCCGGCAGGGGGUGGCAGCCUGGUGCCAGACAGUGACCUGCUGGGGCCCUCAGAAAGAAAAGGGGCUGUCACCACCGACACCUCAGAGCAACAAGCAAGCUGUAGUUUGGGAGGUCGGAGUUCACCCAAGAACAAUCUGCAGCUGCCUCUGCCUUUCCUCUUGUUUUAAAGGAGGAUUAUGAGGCUUGCAUACCUACUGCACCAACCCAUACGAAGUCAAUGAACAGGAUGAGGCCAAGUCAAUAAUACAGAUGAAGAGCAGUACAACCAUGUCUUCAUGCCUUACUGAAAAGCAAAGAUGUAUUUUAUAUCUGGAUUUUCUUUGCACUGAUAAAACGAUAUCAGC
RNAcentral lists this long non-coding RNA (700 nucleotides) under Homo sapiens (human). RNAcentral's name for it is "HSALNT0097399". Lineage: Eukaryota; Metazoa; Chordata; Mammalia; Primates; Hominidae. The record is from RNAcentral.